GUGUCUGUGUUCUCUUUUCUGCAGGUAGUAAGACAUAAAGAACGAAAAUGAAGUAAAUCAAACAAUUUGAAGUAAGGGAACACACAAACAAACGACGAUCGGCGACAAGACCUCCAGGAGGAACUAGCAGGAAUGGAGCAAGAUCAGCGGCAGUGGAGGAACUCGCGGUUACGUGACCCGACGACUCUUGAGCUGCCAUCUCGGGAUUCCGGCAUCAACCCUUAUCCAUCGUAGAGCUGUACAGCCCCCCCAGGGACGAGACCAGACGCGCCCGAGCCAACCAGCCGCCGAUCUCGCCACGAGGACUGCAGCCACCCUGAAGCGACUGUGAACACAUUGCUUACUUACGAAUAAAAACCCAAUUACUGUAUCA
Molecule: long non-coding RNA, 373 nt
Organism: Drosophila teissieri
Lineage: Eukaryota; Metazoa; Arthropoda; Insecta; Diptera; Drosophilidae
Exons: 3
Source: RefSeq, a predicted model, not a curated record